Molecule: long non-coding RNA, 1958 nt
Organism: Esox lucius (northern pike)
Lineage: Eukaryota; Metazoa; Chordata; Actinopteri; Esociformes; Esocidae
Exons: 3
Source: RefSeq, a predicted model, not a curated record
GAUGGGAUUCGGAGUGCCACUGUGGCAGACUUCAAGGAAUUCAUACAGUUGAACAUUGAUGCUCCUUAUCAAACAUGUAUAUAGAUUUUUUCGAAGGAGCUUUCAUCCGGCUCCUUUGCAGCAUGGAAUUGAUUCGUUUCUAGAAGAAUCGGCCAUCUGAGAAUUCAAGAAGAACAUCUCAAACUCAGGUCCUUCCACUAAAUAUAGACAAUUUUGUCUAUAUUGAGACAAUUUUGUCUAUAUUUGACAAUGCUUUUUACUCCUGGACUACAGUCAAUCCUUGUGCUACUAUGGAUGUCGGUCGAUCAAUAGAAGCCAUAGAUCCUGCCUCUUAGCUUAUGUCACACAUUUUUGAUUGGUCAUAAUGUUUGUGUAUCAAAUAUAGAUCACCAGGAUUUUACACAAGUGUGAUGUGCGUCCUCAGUGACCUACCAACCCCAGUAGAAUCCGUCUCCUCAUGUCCCUUCCUGUCCUCUCCACUGGGCUUAGUCCUUGAACCUGUCUGCUGGACUCGCUUGCGCUCCUGCUUGUCUCGGUGAACAUUCAACGCUGUCGGUGAGUUUGGUAUGGAUCACAUGAAAACCAUCGACCGUUGACUGUGCCCCGCGGCUUGUCCCAUCGACCAGAUGAAAGAUGAAACACAGUCAACCUGUUGGAGGGAAGAGGUUGUGCUACACCAGGGUGUUUGGCCAUGUACAUGCCAGGAGGGUUUAUUUCGUUCUUUCAUAAUCAGCACUCAAGACAAACACACAGUUCCUUUCUCUCCCUCAUCUUGUCCCGUCCGGCCCCUCCAAAGACCCUUCCCGUCCAAAGGUCACAAUCAACAUUCAUUGCUGUCGCUGGGUUGGACUCUGUAAAAAAGCUCACUGAACAAUGAGUGCAACUGUGGCCCAGUUCUACACCAGACUGGAGUAGAAUAUCUCAGCCGUAUCAUCCCGCAUUCUGAUUUCAUUUAUUUGAUCUCCUCUCUCUCUCGCUCUCUCUCUCCCUGGUGUCUUCGGGGAGAGGGAGGGAUGUAAAUAGUGUUCGUCUGACUGCUUCCUCAUCUCCCUCUCCUCUAAUUGGAGGUUGUGUGAGCAGCGAGGGGGAAGGAAGCUCACUGAAUGUGUAAUCAUCUGGAGUCUCUCCUCCUUUAGCUGUUUCAUCCCUCUCUUUUUGUGUCUGUAAUUAUACAGGGGACUGUGUGUGUUUGUGUGUGUGUGUGUGUGUGUGUGUGCGUGUGUGUGUGUGUAAUUAUAGUCGGCUGUGUUAGCUCCAUGGACUAAGGGGCCCAAAGUGCCCUGCCGACUGCCGCAUCCUCAGCUGGAGUUCUGUUCUGAUCCCUUCCUGUGUGUGUGUGUUUGUGUGUGUGUGUGUGUGUGUGUUUGUGUGUGUGUUUGUGCGAUAGGGGAAGGGGUGUGUGCAAAAAUAUUCAGCUAUAAUGAGCUCAGCGUUCUCACUCACAACCCAAGAUUGAGUUUUCCUGUCACUUCUAAAUACAGAAAUGUGAUCAUUGCCAUCUCAGUGACUUGACUUGAGUCUGCUUCCUCGGUCCCUGCCUCAUUAUCUAUGUUUGGGCAGCGUUGGAGGACUGUCUGCCUUGGUGUGUGUGUGUGUGUGUGUGUGUGUGUGUGUGUGUGUGUGUGUGUGUGUCACUGUCUGGCUGACUGUGUGUGAGGUUAUUGCCUGCGUCUCAGCCUGUAACCGUGUCUUCAGUCAGGCAGGCUGUCUGAGGUGUGCACUCCUAUUGCUUUUUUCUCUCCUUUUCAUCAUUUAUUCUCAGACAUAUUGACUUCCAUAUUGACUGACUACACGCAAACACAGGUACCCAGGUGUAAAAUGCUGAGAGUUAACCUUAUGACACACGAUGAUGACACAGCUCUAACUUCAAUUGUACGUUUGACAUUUGGUUUAGUGUGUGUGUGUGUGUGUGUGUAUAUUUUAUAAUAACUGCUUAAUAAAACUGAAUGAGAUCCAAA